GAUGAACGCUGGCGGCGUGCCUAAUACAUGCAAGUCGAGCGAACAGAUAAGGAGCUUGCUCCUUUGACGUUAGCGGCGGACGGGUGAGUAACACGUGGAUAACCUACCUAUAAGACUGUGAUAACUUCGGGAAACCGGAGCUAAUACCGGAUAACAUAUUGAAACGCAUGGUUCAAUAGUGAAAGGAGGCUUUGCUGUCACUUAUAGAUGGAUCCGCGGCGGAUUAUCUAGUUGGUAAGGUAAAGGCUUACCAAGGCAACGUUACGUAGCCGACCUGAGAGGGUGAUCGGCCACACUGGAACUGAGACACGGUCCAGACUCCUACGGGAGGCAGCAGUAGGGAAUCUUCCGCAAUGGGCGAAAGCCUGACGGAGCAACGCCGCGUGAGUGAUGAAGGUCUUCGGAUCGUAAAACUCUGUUAUCAGGGAAGAACAAAUGUGUAAGUAACUGUGCACAUCUUGACGGUACCUGAUCAGAAAGCCACGGCUAACUACGUGCCAGCCGCCGCGGUAA
Molecule: ribosomal RNA, 513 nt
Filed under: uncultured bacterium
Lineage: Bacteria
Description: partial 16S ribosomal RNA
Rfam family: Bacterial small subunit ribosomal RNA
Source: RNAcentral